This is a non-coding RNA of Camellia sinensis, 607 nucleotides long. NCBI's taxonomy places the organism in Eukaryota, Viridiplantae, Streptophyta, Magnoliopsida, Ericales, Theaceae. The record is from RefSeq and is a predicted model, not a curated record.
AAGAAUUAAGGAAAUUAAGAGAGAGAGAGAGAGCUUCAUUACCUAUAUAUAUAGAGAUACAUAUUGUAGUCAUCCUGCUGGAGCAAACCGUGGAGAAGGAAGAAAGGAAGAAUAAAGAAGAAGAUGGCUUUGUAGGAUACCAAAAUUGAAGUUAAAAAUUAUGAAAAAUUCAUCUUAAGGAUUGGAGGAAGGCAUCUCUACACGUCUUGGGAAUUAAUUCGUAGAGUUUCAAAUCUACGCUUUUGCUAUUUUGGAGAUUCCUAGACUUUUGUGUGGCUCGCCUCAACUUGGAAGAUUAGAGUUUCUGGAGGAUCAAAUGUGAACAUCUGUAGUUGAGGUUUUGCUUAGGGUGACUCUAGGAUGUAGUUUUAUCCUUUGUUUUAUGAAGUAGGUUGAUUGUAAAUAUUUGCUUUGUGAAGUUGGAUGUAUUGAUUGAUUCACGAAUAGUAUGUUUUAUUUUGGGGGUAAUGGUGCAUGGAAACUAUCUUAGUAGCAUGAUGAUAUUUUUGUCUUUGAAUGGAUCAUCUCAUAUAUGUUGGCCAAUCGAAGGGUCUUAUGCACUAUUGGUGAUGUGAUAUAAGAAUUAUACAGGUGAUUAUUGUGUACA